RNAcentral lists this ribosomal RNA (468 nucleotides) under uncultured bacterium. RNAcentral's name for it is "partial 16S ribosomal RNA". It matches the Rfam family "Bacterial small subunit ribosomal RNA", at positions 28 to 507 of the family's 1533-position model. The record is from RNAcentral.
GACGAACGCUGGCGGCGUGCUUAACACAUGCAAGUCGAACGGAAAGGCCCUGCUUUUGUGGGGUGCUCGAGUUGCGAACGGGUGAGUAACACGUGAGUAACCUGCCCCUGACUUUGGGAUAACUUCAGGAAACUGGGGCUAAUACCGGAUAGGAGCUACUGCUGCAUGGUGGGGGCUGGUAAGUUUAGGCGGUUGGUGGUGGACUCGCGGCUGAUCAGCUUGUUGGGGGGGUAGUGGCUUACCAAGACCAGGAAGGGUAGCAUGGCUGCGAGGGUCACAGGCCACAUUGGGAUUGAGAUACGACCCAGACUACUACGGGAGGCAGCAGAGGGGAGUAUUGCACAAUGGGAGGAAGCCUGAUGUAGCAACGCCGCGUGCGGGAUGACGGCCAUCGGGUUGUGAACCGCUUUCGCCUGUGACGAAGCGAGAGUGACGGUAAUGGGUAAAGAAGCUCCGGCUAACUACGUG